Molecule: non-coding RNA, 28 nt
Filed under: Cricetulus griseus (Chinese hamster)
Lineage: Eukaryota; Metazoa; Chordata; Mammalia; Rodentia; Cricetidae
Source: RNAcentral
AGGCGGACGGCAGUAGCAGGCCCAGCUG